UACGAAGGGGGCGAGCGUUGUUCGGAAUUACUGGGCGUAAAGGGCGCGUAGGCGGCGAACCAAGUCAGAUGUGAAAGUCCUGGGCUUAACCUGGGGACUGCAUUUGAUACUGAUUGGCUUGAAUUCGGGAGAGGAUAGCGGAAUUCCCAGUGUAGAGGUGAAAUUCGUAGAUAUUGGGAAGAACACCGGUGGCGAAGGCGGCUAUCUGGACCGACAUUGACGCUGAGGCGCGAAAGCGUGGGGAGCAAACAGG
Molecule: ribosomal RNA, 253 nt
Filed under: uncultured bacterium
Lineage: Bacteria
Description: partial 16S ribosomal RNA
Rfam family: Bacterial small subunit ribosomal RNA
Source: RNAcentral